AAUUAGCAGAGGCUGCAGGGACUGGAAAACUCAGGGGUCCCCUGCAGCUAGAGUGAAAGGCAGAGGGGGAGACCAGACUGGGUCCCAGCCAGGCAACCGGGACGUGAAAGCUCACUGGAACCACAAGAGUCACAUGGAACGGACUGCAAAACUCACCCCGGUCAGAGCAUCGCGGUGGAGGGAACCACAGGCCUGGGUCUGGAAAACUAGCUUGUCAGCGCAGUGGCGGAUUUCGGAGGAAAAGGACCAGGGUUUGAUGUUCCUUAAGGAAACCAGCUAGAAAAUAUUGUUUGCUAAUAUUUUAUCCUUCAGUCUAAAGUUUUUAUAAUAAGAACUGAGCAGUCCUAGUUGUUAUUAUCUCAUAUGCCUGAAUAUUCUCAUAACAAUAAUCUAGUAGAUAAUUUGAAUGUACGUUUUGAUGUUGUAAAUUAAGAACAGCGCCUGCGAGACUGUAAGAAAUACUUUAAUUGUUGUUCUUUUUACUGUUGUGGAAAAACAAAGCGUUUCCUAAUUUAAAUUCUAAUUAAUUUGAAUUCUAACGUUCUUUUCUCCCAAUCUGAUAUCUAAGGCCAUAUCAUUAGUACCUGGCACCUUGUUCAAGAGAGCUUGUUAGUUUGUCAGGUAGGAAAGAUUCCGAUUUGACUGAAUGAGAAUAAAUAUUUGAGCAAGCCCCACAGUUACAGUUCUAAACAUUAAUUGUUAGUGUUCCAUCUGAGAUACAUGCACUCUGUGAUAUAAAUACAGCUAUCAGAAAUGCACAUUCUUAUGCUGAGGUCUUAAUAUUACACUUUAGGUUCCAGACAAACAAUGUGCAUGCUGAGUGUGAGGAGAUCAUUUCCUACACUUUUUAUAGCCAGAAAAUGCAUUAUAGAACAGGAUUAUUCUAGAAAGCAUCUUUUGAAUAAUUAUAAUCACUCAUCUUCAUCAGAAAGAUGUCUCUUUUGUCUCCUUGAUGUCUCUUGCAGUGGACAGACACAUGUCCAAGCUGUUGUGUUUUAUUUCAUUGUUGACAUGCAGUGAUGUGACUGUGGACUUCUCCCUGGAGAAGGAGGAAUGCUUAGACCCUGUCCAGAGAGUGUUGUACAAAAUCCUGCUGAUAGAGAACUACAGCAGUCUGGUUUCUGUGGGGCACAGCACUGUAUUUGAUCUAAGUACUUAAUGAAUCAAUGUGUUUCUCACAUGCAAAUCUCACACUGAUGACACCUGGUCACCUCUCUGGAGCAAAAACAAAGAGCUUUGGAAAGUGAAGAGGCAGUAACAAAGGAUGCCGACUCCCCCAUCUGGAUCCCAGAUCGAUUUAUCCGACCUGCAAAGGGAAAAGAGAAGGCGCAAGCGCCACUGGAGAAAGCAGCAGAGGAAACUGGUGACGGACAUGAAAAAGAUGAAGCUCAGCCGCGAGAAACCGAAAG
Onychomys torridus (southern grasshopper mouse) is the source of this 1409-nucleotide long non-coding RNA. RefSeq lists it as uncharacterized. The transcript has 3 exons. NCBI's taxonomy places the organism in Eukaryota, Metazoa, Chordata, Mammalia, Rodentia, Cricetidae. The record is from RefSeq and is a predicted model, not a curated record.